This 253-nucleotide ribosomal RNA is filed under the name uncultured bacterium. RNAcentral describes it as "partial 16S ribosomal RNA". It matches the Rfam family "Bacterial small subunit ribosomal RNA", at positions 524 to 776 of the family's 1533-position model. The record is from RNAcentral.
UACAGAGGUCCCAAGCGUUGUUCGGAUUCACUGGGCGUAAAGGGUGCGUAGGUGGUCGGGUAAGUCUGAUGUGAAAUCUCACGGCUCAACCGUGAAACUGCAUUGGAUACUAUUCGGCUGGAGGGUUGGAGGGGGGACUGGAAUACUUGGUGUAGCAGUGAAAUGCGUAGAUAUCAAGUGGAACACCAGUGGCGAAGGCGAGUCCCUGGACUGAUACUGACACUGAGGUGCGAAAGCGUGGGGAGCAAACAGG